UCCGGGAUGGUGGGACGACUGUUGGGACCGCCUCUGCUAAAGAGGAGGAAGGAAUGGGCAACGGUAGGUCAGCAUGCCCCGAAUUAUCUGGGCUACACGCGGGCUACAAUGGGUGGGACAAUGGGUAUCGAACACCGAAAGGUGAAGGCAAUCUCCUAAACCCAUCCGUAGUUCGGAUUGUGGGCUGCAACUCGCCCACAUGAAGCUGGAAUCUGUAGUAAUCGUGUCUCAAAUAGCGCGGUGAAUAUGUCCCUGCUCCUU
RNAcentral lists this ribosomal RNA (261 nucleotides) under uncultured Methanomicrobiales archaeon. Its description in RNAcentral is "partial 16S ribosomal RNA". It matches the Rfam family "Archaeal small subunit ribosomal RNA", at positions 1078 to 1338 of the family's 1478-position model. Lineage: Archaea; Methanobacteriati; Methanobacteriota; Methanomicrobia; Methanomicrobiales. The record is from RNAcentral.